RNAcentral lists this ribosomal RNA (801 nucleotides) under Salmonella enterica. RNAcentral describes it as "bacterial LSU rRNA". It matches the Rfam family "Bacterial large subunit ribosomal RNA", at positions 830 to 1547 of the family's 2925-position model. The record is from RNAcentral. RNAcentral also lists the same sequence under 2 other names. Lineage: Bacteria; Pseudomonadati; Pseudomonadota; Gammaproteobacteria; Enterobacterales; Enterobacteriaceae.
CAAUCAAACCGGGAGAUAGCUGGUUCUCCCCGAAAGCUAUUUAGGUAGCGCCUCGUGAAUUCAUCUCCGGGGGUAGAGCACUGUUUCGGCUAGGGGGCCAUCCCGGCUUACCAACCCGAUGCAAACUGCGAAUACCGGAGAAUGUUAUCACGGGAGACACACGGCGGGUGCUAACGUCCGUCGUGAAGAGGGAAACAACCCAGACCGCCAGCUAAGGUCCCAAAGUCAUGGUUAAGUGGGAAACGAUGUGGGAAGGCCCAGACAGCCAGGAUGUUGGCUUAGAAGCAGCCAUCAUUUAAAGAAAGCGUAAUAGCUCACUGGUCGAGUCGGCCUGCGCGGAAGAUGUAACGGGGCUAAACCAUGCACCGAAGCUGCGGCAGCGAACGUAUCACCCAAGACAACUUUACGGAGUUGACGAUUGACGGAGCGAAGCGACGUCAAAGCGUUCAUUAAAGUCGAGUUGGCUUAGGGAUACGUUCGUUGGGUAGGGGAGCGUUCUGUAAGCCUGUGAAGGUGUGUCGUGAGGCAUGCUGGAGGUAUCAGAAGUGCGAAUGCUGACAUAAGUAACGAUAAAGCGGGUGAAAAGCCCGCUCGCCGGAAGACCAAGGGUUCCUGUCCAACGUUAAUCGGGGCAGGGUGAGUCGACCCCUAAGGCGAGGCCGAAAGGCGUAGUCGAUGGGAAACGGGUUAAUAUUCCCGUACUUGGUGUUACUGCGAAGGGGGGACGGAGAAGGCUAUGUUGGCCGGGCGACGGUUGUCCCGGUUUAAGCGUGUAGGUGUGUGUUCCAGGUAAAUCCGGUU